RNAcentral lists this ribosomal RNA (505 nucleotides) under uncultured bacterium. Its description in RNAcentral is "bacterial SSU rRNA". It matches the Rfam family "Bacterial small subunit ribosomal RNA", at positions 29 to 531 of the family's 1533-position model. The record is from RNAcentral.
AACUAACGCUGGCGGCGUGCCUAACACAUGCAAGUCGUACGAGAAAGCCGGCUUCGGCUGGUGAGUAAAGUGGCGCACGGGUGAGUAACGCGUGGAUAAUCUGCCCUUAAGUGUGGAAUAACGUACCGAAAGGUGCGCUAAUACCGCAUAAUGCCUGGCAACACAAGUUGUCCGGCCAAAGAAGGCCUCUGUUUACAAGCUUUCGCUUCAGGAUGAGUCCGCGUACCAUUAGCUUGUUGGUGGGGUAAUGGCCUACCAAGUCAGCGAUCGGUAGCCGGACUGAGAGGUUGAACGGCCACAUUGGGACUGAGACACGGCCCAGACUCCUACGGGAGGCAGCAGUGGGGGAUAUUGCACAAUGGGCGAAAGCCUGAUGCAGCAACGCCGCGUGAGGGAAGACGGUUUUCGGAUUGUAAACCUCUGUCUUCGGUGAAGAAAAAAUGACGGUAGCCGAGGAGGAAGCCACGGCUAACUACGUGCCAGCAGCCGCGGUAACUAGUCUACG